AAGCAAUGGUGAGGGCACUGAGACUGAUAACUUUGGAAGCGCUCCCAUGCUUCAUAGAGUGUUUUCACCAUUCUUCUGAGUGAACCCAGAAAUGUCGUUGCGUAGACGU
Small nucleolar RNA from Capsella rubella, 109 nucleotides. It matches the Rfam family "Plant small nucleolar RNA R71". From Rfam's summary of the family: R71 is a member of the C/D box family of snoRNAs containing the C (UGAUGA) and D (CUGA) box motifs. Multiple nearly identical copies of this snoRNA have been identified in Arabidopsis, and it is thought to function as a 2'-O-ribose methylation guide for 18S ribosomal RNA. NCBI's taxonomy places the organism in Eukaryota, Viridiplantae, Streptophyta, Magnoliopsida, Brassicales, Brassicaceae. The record is from Rfam.